RNAcentral lists this small RNA (104 nucleotides) under marine eukaryotic metagenome. RNAcentral's name for it is "t44 RNA". It matches the Rfam family "t44 RNA". Rfam says of the family: This family consists of a number of bacterial RNA genes of between 135 and 170 bases in length. The t44 gene is found between the map and rpsB genes in all species in the full alignment apart from Shigella flexneri. The function of this RNA is unknown. The record is from RNAcentral.
UAAAACUUAACGACACACACAUUCCGACACAAUGUUCUGGGUGCCUGUAAAGCGAGCAAUAGGUUGCUGUACGGGUUGAUCAUUGGGGGAUGUGGAGGCUUAAC